This 312-nucleotide long non-coding RNA is filed under the name Populus tremula. RNAcentral's name for it is "long non-coding RNA (PTRE_LNC002924)". Lineage: Eukaryota; Viridiplantae; Streptophyta; Magnoliopsida; Malpighiales; Salicaceae. The record is from RNAcentral.
GGAAACGGAAAAGAAAAUUGCAGUAGCUGCAUAAUCACUUAAGAGGUCGAGGUCUUGGAAACAAUUCAAUCACUCGAAGAUAGAUGUUUCAUGUAGCAACAAGACUCUGCUAUUGAUUGAUUAAACGGAACCGUGCUCCAUUCCUAUCUUCAGCAACAACAAAAAAAAAAAUUAACAACAUUUUCUUUCAUUAUUAUUUUUAAGGUUAGAUAGAGAGCAUCCCGUCUCCUUACCUGCUUAUUACUAUUGACGGUCUGAUUUCUGUGCUUCUGGUUUUCUUCACUCUUCUUCUUCACUUGUUAUGGCCCCCAA